RNAcentral lists this ribosomal RNA (1554 nucleotides) under Darevskia parvula. RNAcentral describes it as "partial large subunit ribosomal RNA". It matches the Rfam family "Bacterial large subunit ribosomal RNA", at positions 370 to 2836 of the family's 2925-position model. The record is from RNAcentral. Lineage: Eukaryota; Metazoa; Chordata; Lepidosauria; Squamata; Lacertidae.
GCCCAAAACACAGCCGACCAAACACUCUAAACCCCCCACAAUUACCUUAACCAAAACAUUUAUCUUGGCCAGUAAAUGAGAUUAAACACCACCACCCGGCCCCCAAGUACCGCAAGGGAACAGUGAAAGAACAAUGAAAAACUCUAAGCACCACACAGCAAAGAUUAAUCCUUGUACCUCCUGCAUCAUGGUUUAGCAAAACCCCUUCAGACAAAGAGAACCUUUAGCCUGCCUCCCCGAAACCAAACGAGCUAUUUUUAAGCAGCUGUAAAAUCCGAGCGCACCCGUCCCUGUAGCAAAAGGGUGGGAAGACUUAAAAAUAGAGGCAAAAAGCCAACCGAGCUUGGUGAUAGCUGGCUACUCAACUAAAGAAUUUAAGUUCUACUUUAGGUACUACUUGAGCCAACCAUCCAACAAAACUCACCCCUUCUACACCUAAAGAAAAUCAAUGGGGGUACAGCCCCAUUGAACCGGAAUACAGCCCGAACUGAGAGAAAUAUCAAGCCCUUCUCCCGUAGGCUUCAAAGCAGCCACCAGAUAAUCGCGUUAUAGCAUGUUCACUAAACAAUUCUAACAAUUUAAUCAACCUCCUAAUCUACAAUGAGUUAUUCUAUACCAAUAUAGAAACACCAAUGCUAAAAUUAGUAAUGAGAAACACUUAUUUCUCUCUGCACCCCCUUAAAUCAGAAUAGAAAAACUACUGACGAUUAACAAACCAACAGACACCCACAACACACCUAGCCAAAGUGUCACUAAAAACUUGUUACCCCAACACAGGCGUGCAAAAAAGAAAGACAAAAGGCCGCAAAAGGAACUCGGCAAAAUUUAAUCCCAACUGUUUACCAAAAACAUAGCCUUUAGCCCCACAAGUAUUAAAGGUCCCGCCUGCCCAGUGACUCUUUAAACGGCCGCGGUAUCCUAACCGUGCAAAGGUAGCAUAAUCACUUGUCCCUUAAAUAGGGACUGGAAUGAACGGCUAAAUGAGGAUUAAACUGUCUCUUGCGAGCCGGUCAAUGAAUUUGAUUUUCCAGUUCAAAAGCUGGAAUAAACACAUAAGACGAGAAGACCCUGUGGAGCUUCAAAACCUAGUUCACCAAAUAAUGCUUCCUUCGGUUUUUAGUUGGGGCGACUUCGGAGCACAAAAAAACCUCCAAAACAUGUAAACCCAUUAUAUUAAGAUCAACAAACCACAAAACCACAAGAUCCAGCAACAGCCCUUAAUGUUGUCUGACCAAUGAACCAAGUUACCCCAGGGAUAACAGCGCCAUCCCCUUCUAGAGUCCCUAUCGACAAGGGGGUUUACGACCUCGAUGUUGGAUCAGGACACCCCAAUGGUGCAGCCGCCACUAAAGGUUCGUUUGUUCAACGAUUAAAGUCCUACGUGAUCUGAGUUCAGACCGGAGAAAUCCAGGUCGGUUUCUAUCUAUGCAGUACUACCUUCAGUACGAAAGGACCAAAGUAGUAGGACCAAUACCAAAAGAACGUCCCAACUAAAACUACUGAAACAACCUAAAGUAGCAAGCACACUACCCCUUCUAAACCAAAAUCAGGUUU